AUUACCGCGGCUGCUGGCACGAAGUUAGCCGGGGCUUAUUCUUCCGGUACAGUCAUUAUCUUCCCGGAUAAAAGAGCUUUACAACCCUAAGGCCUUCAUCACUCACGCGGCAUGGCUGGAUCAGGCUUUCGCCCAUUGUCCAAUAUUCCCCACUGCUGCCUCCCGUAGG
This 169-nucleotide ribosomal RNA is filed under the name uncultured alpha proteobacterium GT05. RNAcentral describes it as "partial 16S ribosomal RNA". The record is from RNAcentral. Lineage: Bacteria; Pseudomonadati; Pseudomonadota; Alphaproteobacteria.